UUUCAAAGUAUGUCAUUACCAUCCCUAAACUCAGUUUGAGUCUCUAAUUCUCCCAUAACGGGUCCAGCUGAUCUUAUUUUUAUACAAAUAACCCCCCUGCUCUUUUGUUCUUUAAUAGAAAACACCAUCAAGAAUCGAUCUGUUACGAGAUCGAUCAGAGAUCGAUCGCUUGGCUCGCCGCUGCCGCCGCUUCGUCUCCCGGCCGCGACUCCUCCGCGCGUGAGAAACAAGCGCGCCUGGCGAUCUGUGUCUGGCGAGAAGCGAGCGUCAAAAGGGAGCGCAUCUGGCGGUGAACAUGGCGGCGCGAUUGCGCGGCAAAGGGCAUCCUGCGCCGGUCUAUAGAGGCCAUGAACCAAGGAUAGCUCGUGCGUGAUGGCUGGGAUUGCGAACGUGGGGCGCACUUGCGGCCGUGGUGAUGGACACGCGACUAAGCCGCAAGGAGCAGCAGCACGAUCCUGAUGUUUCCGUGGUGAGCAAGCAGCAAACUUUUGGCUUUCUUUGUUCGUGUCCAGGCAGCUCGGCGUGUCCCACCGGCGGCAGCAGCAAGCUGCUUGCUUUCCCUGUGUUUGUGUUUUUCUCUUGCAGCUAGCCGGCGACUCCAAGGCGAGCAGCUCGUCCUCGGCGGCGGUUGGCAGCAGUGCUGCUCGGUGCACACAAACAGGGCAGAGGAAGCGAUGGCGUCGGCGAGCGGGUAUCGAUCUCUCGGAACAGAUCGAUUUUUUAUGGUGCUUCCUAUUAAGAAACAAAAGAGCGGGGAGUUAUUUGUAUAAAGUUAAGGUCAGCUGGACCCAUUAUAGGGGAAUUAGAGACUCAAACUAAGUUUAGAAAUGGUAAUAACAUACUUUGAAAGUUCGUGGAUCGGGAUGACACAGUAGGAAAAAUUUAAGGACUGGUGGUGCACUUUACUCGGAAAAAUACCUUGCCGUGGAGUGGGUUUUUAAUUACACUGAAAAUAUUAAGCAAAUUACUGCAAAAAAGGGGACUGCCUCAAUGAAUGUCUAGGUCUUAGUUCAAAUUUAACGUAAUAUUUCAGAUUUGAUCUGAAACCAUAUUUAAUCUAAAAUUCACUGCCAUGUCAUGCCAGCGGGUGUAAGCCAGGCCCGACUAGUGACGUUACUAGCGGCUGUUCAGUGCAUCAUACCGAGUGCUAUUAGAGUAUUUCAAAGUAUACCAGUUCAUAUUUAAUGUACAUUACAUUAUAUUACGAAAAAACUAACAUAGUUUUAUUACUUCCGUUGCACAUUCAAUUUCAUCUAUGUUCACACAGCCAAACGAACACGUAUACCAUCAACCAAACAACCCUUCCGCAUCCAUUCAGCCUAUGCGAAAAACAGAGAGCCAUGCGAAAAACCAGUUACACCCAUAGUCCACAACAAACCAGCUCAAACAGAACUCCUGGAACGAACGCACGGAAUAACUCAGCAGAUAAUAUGUACAUGCUUUUGCUAUGUCUAAGGCAAGGAACAGAACACAUACAGAAUCCCUCUUUCAAAGUACCACACCAUUUGCCAAGAAGAUGGUUCUAUGAAUUGUAUAAACUGCUUCGUUGUUUAUGCACUCUGUAAGUCCCUCCCGAUGGCCUGGAGAGGUGGUACCAUUUCUGAAGAAUUUACCAGUUGUGCCUUUACUUGCUCAGAAAGGCCUUCAAAGAAAAUGGCGGG
Long non-coding RNA from Panicum virgatum (switchgrass), 1661 nucleotides. RefSeq lists it as uncharacterized. The transcript is spliced from 2 exons. The record is from RefSeq and is a predicted model, not a curated record. Lineage: Eukaryota; Viridiplantae; Streptophyta; Magnoliopsida; Poales; Poaceae.